CUUCUAGUCCCCAGGCUCUCCGUCCUGUUUCGUCCUCCCUUCCUUCCUCCUCACUCCUCCACAAAUUGAACACCUGUCUGUGCCAGAGGCCACAUGAAGUCCCUAGAUGCUGCGCUGAGCACGAUAAAGUCGGCUCCGAAGGACUCACACAGAACACCCCCCCACCCCGUGUUGGCGGGGGCGGGGGGGGGGGUGCUCCCAGCAAAGGAAAGAGCACUGUGAAGGUCUGGAGGGCUGCUGUCGGCAACGAACAAGACAACACGGAAAGCACCUACACGGUUUCCUCCUUGGAGCAGGAGAGCCCGGGACUGUUAUCUUCGAAGUGGACACCAGGGGGCAGCAUAGGACCAAGUCACGCAGGCCACACCUGUGUCUUGCCGAGGGGAGCGGGAAGAGGGACUUCUGGGAGAAGGUGGGGGGUGGGGCUGGGCGCCUUUCAACUCCACCCUCCAAGCCCAGGCUGUCAGGGGGCCCUUCCCAGGUCUGUUCACACGCAUCACUCAUUCCUUCACAGAAAGGUGGACAGAUUGUUGCUUUCACGUUGCUCACAGCCUAGAGAAGAGACAGUCUCUGAACAAGCAGUAAUUAAUGCAAUGACUUUAAGUAAUUAAAGCAAAUAGAUGUGUUCUCUGAA
Molecule: long non-coding RNA, 634 nt
Organism: Lynx canadensis (Canada lynx)
Lineage: Eukaryota; Metazoa; Chordata; Mammalia; Carnivora; Felidae
Exons: 2
Source: RefSeq, a predicted model, not a curated record